RNAcentral lists this non-coding RNA (77 nucleotides) under Paraburkholderia sp. BL23I1N1. The record is from RNAcentral. Lineage: Bacteria; Pseudomonadati; Pseudomonadota; Betaproteobacteria; Burkholderiales; Burkholderiaceae.
UGAGCGGCUCGCAAGGGCCGUUGACCACCGUGCAGGAGUCAGCAGAGGGCAUAUUAGGGCGGCGACGCCUGAAGGCC